RNAcentral lists this long non-coding RNA (539 nucleotides) under Mytilus galloprovincialis (Mediterranean mussel). The record is from RNAcentral. Lineage: Eukaryota; Metazoa; Mollusca; Bivalvia; Mytilida; Mytilidae.
GCUGUUAUUUUCAUACCGAUUUAGUCCAUAUAACAUGUAUAACUAUAGUGCAUUUUUAUACAUAGCUAUGACAUGUUCGACAGUUUGAUUAGGUUUGUGCAAUGUUGGUAUGUUUUAACGGUAACAUUAAUUGAAAAUCCAGUUAUGACGUCUGCCAAGGACGUAUAUAUAUGUGAGUUAUACAUAUACUUGCGUCUGCAUACUAGACAUAUUUCAUUUUUUUUUAAAGUUAUUGAUACUUGUAUCCAUUUAUAGAUCACUAUACCUCAAUAUAGAUGUUCAUCAUGCAUUGUCAUGUAUAAGUGUAUAGUUUAGAUUAAAACCAAUUUAAUAAAUGCAGCUGUAAUAGCUUUCUUUUCAUACAUGUCAUAUUUUAUUCUUUUUUAAUAUGAAUAUGUUGGUGCUGUGUGAGAUGUUUUUUUUUUGUGUAAACAUACUCUUAUAUCAUGUAUAUAUUUAAGUGUAAUAAUUGCUAUGUUCUUGUUCUUUUUCUAGAUUGGCAGUAUAAUCAGCUGGGGAGAAAAACUCAAACCAUUCCC